CGGGGUGUGGCUCAGCUUGGCUAGAGCGCCUGGUUCGGGACCAGGAGGUCGCAGGUUCAAAUCCUGUCACCCCGA
This 75-nucleotide transfer RNA is filed under the name Planctomyces sp. SH-PL14. It matches the Rfam family "tRNA". From Rfam's summary of the family: Transfer RNA (tRNA) molecules are approximately 80 nucleotides in length. Their secondary structure includes four short double-helical elements and three loops (D, anti-codon, and T loops). Lineage: Bacteria; Pseudomonadati; Planctomycetota; Planctomycetia; Planctomycetales; Planctomycetaceae. The record is from Rfam by way of RNAcentral.